CCUACGGGGGGCAGCAGUGGGGAAUAUUGCACAAUGGGGGAAACCCUGAUGCAGCGACGCCGCGUGAGUGAUGAAGUAUCUCGGUAUGUAAAGCUCUAUCAGCAGGGAAGUAAAUGACGGUACCUGACUAAGAAGCCCCGGCUAACUUCGUGCCAGCAGCCGCGGUAAUACGGAGGGGGCAAGCGUUAUCCGGAUUUACGGGGUGGAAAGGGAGUGUAGACGGUGUUGCAAGUGCGAAGUGAAAGCCCGGGGCUCAACUCGGGGACUGCUUUUGAAACUGGGGGACUGGAGUGCAGGAGAGGUAAGCGGAAUUCGUGGUGUAGCGGGGAAAUGCGUAGAUAUCAGGAGGAACACCGAUGGCGAAGGCAGCUUACUGGACUGUAACUGACGUUGAGGCUCGAAAGCGUGGGGAGCAAACAGGAUUAGAUACCCCAGUAGUC
This 440-nucleotide ribosomal RNA is filed under the name uncultured bacterium. Its description in RNAcentral is "partial 16S ribosomal RNA". It matches the Rfam family "Bacterial small subunit ribosomal RNA", at positions 338 to 795 of the family's 1533-position model. The record is from RNAcentral.